Molecule: non-coding RNA, 54 nt
Organism: Danio rerio (zebrafish)
Lineage: Eukaryota; Metazoa; Chordata; Actinopteri; Cypriniformes; Danionidae
Source: Rfam
CAUUUAUGUUAUUGUAAGUCGCUUUGGAUAAAAUCGUCUGCUAAAUGACUAAAU